CCCUUAGAUGUCCGGGGCCGCACGCGCGCUACACUGAAGGAAUCAGCGUGGCUUUCUCCCUGACCCGAAAGGGUUGGGAAACCCGUUGAAUCUCCUUCGUGAUAGGGAUUGGGGCUUGAAAUUGUUCCCCAUGAACGAGGAAUUCCCAGUAAGCGCGAGUCAUAAGCUCGCGUUGAUUACGUCCCUGCCCUUUGGACACACCGCCCGUCGCUACUACCGAUUGAACGGUUUAGUGAGGGCCUCGGAUUGGUCUCGGCCCGCUCUUUACCGGGCGGCGCCGUUGGUCGAGAAGACGCUCGAACUUGAUCGUUUAGAGGAAGUAAAAGUCGUAACA
RNAcentral lists this ribosomal RNA (334 nucleotides) under uncultured eukaryote. RNAcentral's name for it is "partial 18S ribosomal RNA". It matches the Rfam family "Eukaryotic small subunit ribosomal RNA", at positions 1470 to 1796 of the family's 1831-position model. The record is from RNAcentral.